UAGGGAAUCUUCGGCAAUGGACGGAAGUCUGAUCGAGCAACGCCGCGUGAGUGAAGAAGGUUUUCGGAUCGUAAAGCUCUGUUGUAAGAGAAGAACGAGUGUGAGAGUGGAAAGUUCACACUGUGACGGUAUCUUACCAGAAAGGGACGGCUAACUACGUGCCAGCAGCCGCGGUAAUACGUAGGUCCCGAGCGUUGUCCGGAUUUAUUGGGCGUAAAGCGAGCGCAGGCGGUUAGAUAAGUCUGAAGUUAAAGGCUGUGGCUUAACCAUAGUACGCUUUGGAAACUGUUUAACUUGAGUGCAAGAGGGGAGAGUGGAAUUCCAUGUGUAGCGGUGAAAUGCGUAGAUAUAUGGAGGAACACCGGUGGCGAAAGCGGCUCUCUGGCUUGUAACUGACGCUGAGGCUCGAAAGCGUGGGGAGCAAACAGGAUUAGAUACCCUGGUAGUCCACGCCGUAACGAUGAGUGCUAGGUGUUAGACCCUUUCCGGGGUUUAGUGCCGCAGCUAACGCAUUAAGCACUCCGCCUGGGGAGUACGACCGCAAGGUU
RNAcentral lists this ribosomal RNA (548 nucleotides) under uncultured bacterium. RNAcentral describes it as "bacterial SSU rRNA". It matches the Rfam family "Bacterial small subunit ribosomal RNA", at positions 355 to 895 of the family's 1533-position model. The record is from RNAcentral.